UAUGUAUAAUAGUAUGUAUCAUUAUAGUUAUUCCUUUAAAAAGUUAUAUUUUAUUUAUAUAUUUUUUUUUUCUUGCGAAAUGAAAUAUGAAAUUUAUUGUUAGUUAAAUAUAUAUAUAUAUGCUCAUAUGCGUACAAAUUCAUUCAAAAUAAUAACAAAAGGAGAUAUAAAUAAACAAACAAGGUAUAUUUAUAUCUUUACGUGCAUACAUAGCUAUAUAUAAUAUAUAUGUAUGGUUUAACAAUUUAAAAAAAGUCAUAAAAUAUACUUAAAACAAAAGAUGGUAAGAACGAAAAUAAUUGACGCUGGGUGUUUUAUAUCUCAAAUGAAUGAGUUAUUAUUAAUAGAUCCUCUAUAUAUGAAUUAUGCUAUAACAAAUUAUUUUAAUAAUUAUAUUAAUGAUAAAAAAGAAUUGUUGCCUAACAAAAGUUUAAAUUGUAUUUAUUUUCCUAAUGCAAAAGCUGGUAUGUGGUCUUCUUUUGCUAUCAAAGAAAAUAACAAUUCUGCAUCGAACUCACUCGAAGUGAGUACUACAAACAGUUACGAUAUAGAUAGAAAUUAUAACAAUGAUAUGGUCAUAUCAUUCUUUUGUGUUAACAAUAGUGAUUUUAUGCAUGAAUAUAUAACUACUGAAAAAAUUAAUGGAUUAAAGUGGCAAAUUUUUGAAUUAAAUGAAAAUCACAUAGGUAACGAAUUAAAUAAAACAGCUGAUAAUAACAAUACAACUGGUGAUAAAAAUACUAAUGAAGAAAAAAAAAAUCCCCCAAAAGAAAAUGAAACUAUUGCUUUUGAAAAUUAUUUUACUAAUGUUCUAACUAUAGAAAGUGGUCAAGUUGGUUUAUUUUGUAUAGAAUCCAUUAGAAACAGUGCAAAUAAUCUCCUUCAAAAAUAUGGCCAAAAUUCAGUUAAUAAUAAGGAACAAUUAGAGAAAUUGUUUAUGCAAAAUAUGAACGAUUUAUAUCCAUGGUUUGAUAAAAUAUGUAAUGUAACUAUAUCAUCAUCUAUUGCUAUAAUUGAUUAUAUGAAUAUGCCAGUAGGAAGUGUUUGUAUAUCAAGUUCAGACUGUGUAAUUAAUUAUUUAUGCGAAGUAGUAAAAGACGAAAUCACAGGAGAGGUGUGG
Molecule: long non-coding RNA, 1120 nt
Filed under: Piliocolobus tephrosceles (Ugandan red Colobus)
Lineage: Eukaryota; Metazoa; Chordata; Mammalia; Primates; Cercopithecidae
Description: lncRNA (ENSPTEG00000014725.1)
Source: RNAcentral